This 253-nucleotide ribosomal RNA is filed under the name uncultured bacterium. RNAcentral's name for it is "partial 16S ribosomal RNA". It matches the Rfam family "Bacterial small subunit ribosomal RNA", at positions 524 to 776 of the family's 1533-position model. The record is from RNAcentral.
UACAGAGGGUGCAAGCGUUGUUCGGAAUUAUUGGGCGUAAAGCGCGUGUAGGCGGCUUUGCAAGUCGGGUGUGAAAGCCCUCAGCUCAACUGAGGAAGUGCGCCCGAAACUGCAGAGCUUGAAUACCGGAGAGGAUGGCGGAAUUCCCCAAGUGGAGGUGAAAUGCGCAGAUAUCGGGAGGAACACCCGUAGCGAAGGCGGCGCUCUGGGCCGGUACUGACGCUGAGGAGCGAAAGCGUGGGGAGCAAACAGG